GGUCCUGUGUGUAUACAUUAUGGCUUCAAGUUUAGUGUGUUUACAGAUUUCCUGAAUACACAAACAAGUUUCAGCUUUCCGGUUCCAGAAACUUCAACCACUUCAUACCAAAUCCCAAGCUGUACCCUCUGAUGUUUACUUCCUCAAGCAAAUCUCAUGUAGUUCACAAGCUUUAGAGCUUUACAAGUCUGAGGCCAAGGCGUCAGCAGGUUCAGUCUCUGAUGGCAGUUUGCUCUCAACUUCCGACGUCGCUCUUUGUUGCUGUAUUGUCAAGUACAGAAGAGGGGGAAUUUGAAGGGCUUGGUAGCCUCAUUCAGAAAAGCAGUGAACCAGCUGGGCGGUAGGACCACAAGCCUUUAACCCCAGCACUCGGGAGGCAGAGGCAGGCAGAUCUCUAUGAGUUCAAGGCCAGCCUGGUCUACAGAACGAGUU
Long non-coding RNA from Mesocricetus auratus (golden hamster), 432 nucleotides. RefSeq lists it as uncharacterized. The transcript is spliced from 3 exons. Lineage: Eukaryota; Metazoa; Chordata; Mammalia; Rodentia; Cricetidae. The record is from RefSeq and is a predicted model, not a curated record.